UAAAUUGCUAUCAUUAUCAAAAUACUGAAUUUGAUUAUUGAGGAAAGCAAACGACAUCAGGGGAUAUCAUAUGCCUCAGUAGUGAAGACUGCUGACUAAGGCAAGGAAUCAUAUACCACAGGAGAACGUCGAACUAACGACACGCCUGGUUCAGUCUAACGAGUAGAGACUCAGACCCUAGAAGGUACCAAAUGAAGGAUACAGCUGGUAAGGUCUACAACAGUGAAAGACAGACCCCAGACAGUAUCAAGUGAAAGAUACGUCUUGUAAGGUCAAAACAAGGAUAACAGACCCCAGACAGUAUCAAAUGAAAGAUACGUCUUGUAAGGUCAAAACAGAUAACAGACCCCAGACAGUAUCAAAUGAAAGACACGUCUUGUAAGGUCAAAACAGAUAACUGACCCCAGACAGUAUCAAAUAAAAGACACGUCUUGUAAGGUCAAAACAGAUAACAGACCCCAGACAGUAUCAAAUGAAAGAUACGUCUUGU
This 490-nucleotide long non-coding RNA is filed under the name Lactuca sativa (garden lettuce). Its description in RNAcentral is "long non-coding RNA (LSAT_LNC000718)". Lineage: Eukaryota; Viridiplantae; Streptophyta; Magnoliopsida; Asterales; Asteraceae. The record is from RNAcentral.